UAUAAUCUUUGACUAUUCGUCUUAUUUGAAUUUUUUUACGAUUAAUAUUUUUAUUGUCAUUAGAUGAUAAAACAUGAAUAAUAUUUUACGUGUGACUAAUUUUUUAAGUUUUUUUUAUAAAAUUUUGAAAUAAAAUGGAUGGUCAAACGCUAGAUAC
Molecule: microRNA precursor, 157 nt
Filed under: Oryza brachyantha (malo sina)
Lineage: Eukaryota; Viridiplantae; Streptophyta; Magnoliopsida; Poales; Poaceae
Description: MIR812 microRNA precursor family
Rfam family: MIR812 microRNA precursor family
Source: Rfam by way of RNAcentral